UGAGUAGGACAAAUGGUCGCGGCUGCAAUACCGAGAGGCUGCAGGUGAGGAAAGUCCGGGCUUCACAGGGCAGGAUGCCGGAUAACGUCCGGUGGAGGUGACUCCAAGGAAAGUGCAACAGAAAUAAACCGCAGUACUUGUACUGUAAGGGUGGAAAGGCAGUGUAAGAGACUACCGCCCGACUGGUAACAGGCGGGGCACAUGUAAACCCCAUCCGAAGCAAGACCAAACAGAGAGCAUAAGGCGGCCCGUCUGCUUUCGGGUAGGUUGCUUGAGCCUGCUGGUAACGGCAGGACUAGAUAGAUGACCAUUCAACGACAUAACCCGGCUUAUCGUCCUGCUCAGAUU
Molecule: RNase P RNA, 348 nt
Filed under: bacterium
Lineage: Bacteria
Description: RNase P RNA component class A
Rfam family: Bacterial RNase P class A
About the family: Ribonuclease P (RNase P) is a ubiquitous endoribonuclease, found in archaea, bacteria and eukarya as well as chloroplasts and mitochondria. Its best characterised activity is the generation of mature 5'-ends of tRNAs by cleaving the 5'-leader elements of precursor-tRNAs.
Source: RNAcentral